AGUUGUCGUGCCAACGGCAUAGCUGGGUAGCUAUGUGUGGACGGGAUAAGUGCUGAAAGCAUCUAAGCAUGAAGCCCCCCUCAAGAUGAGAUUUCCCAACUUCGGUUAUAAGAUCCCUCAAAGAUGAUGAGGUUAAUAGGUUCGAGGUGGAAGCAUGGUGACAUGUGGAGCUGACGAAUACUAAUCGAUCGAAGACUUAAUCAA
RNAcentral lists this ribosomal RNA (204 nucleotides) under Staphylococcus aureus. Its description in RNAcentral is "partial 23S ribosomal RNA". It matches the Rfam family "Bacterial large subunit ribosomal RNA", at positions 2719 to 2925 of the family's 2925-position model. Lineage: Bacteria; Bacillati; Bacillota; Bacilli; Caryophanales; Staphylococcaceae. The record is from RNAcentral.